CUGCUGCCUUCCGUAGGAGUUUGGUCCGUGUCUCAGUACCAAUGUGGGGGGUUAACCUCUCAGUCCCCCUAUGUAUCGUCGCCUUGGUGAGCCGUUACCUCACCAACCAGCUAAUACAACGCAUGCCCAUCAUCAACCACCGGAGUUUUCAACCCCAUGCGAUGCCGCAUGAGAUAUUAUGGGGUAUUAGUACCAAUUUCUCAGUGUUAUCCCCCUGUUGAUGGUAGGUUGCAUACGCGUUACGCACCCGUGCCG
Molecule: ribosomal RNA, 255 nt
Filed under: uncultured bacterium
Lineage: Bacteria
Description: partial 16S ribosomal RNA
Source: RNAcentral